RNAcentral lists this long non-coding RNA (2017 nucleotides) under Lynx pardinus (Iberian lynx). The stretch from base 420 to 492 matches the Rfam family "mir-675 microRNA precursor family". The record is from RNAcentral. Lineage: Eukaryota; Metazoa; Chordata; Mammalia; Carnivora; Felidae.
GUGCCCUUCCCAGGUAGAAAGAGCAUUUCGGGAGAGCAGGCAGGAGAUGAGGCAGGGCUGCCGGCAGGAGAGGUGACAGGUAGCUGUGGGGAUCCAGCACGUGCGGGGUGGGGGGGGAGGCACCAGGCCCCGGGUCGGACAGGAUGAGGUGGGGACUCAGGACGCAGCAGGGGUCCCCAGCCGCCACCACAUCUCACCCACUGAAAUUCAUUUAGUAGCAGGUACAGGAGCGGCUCUGGCCAGGCCAGAGCUUCGAGGGCUGGGGAGCGGGAAAGAAGGGGCAGUGCGCGGGGUGUCCCGCAACAGGACGUCACCGGAGGGAGCGGCGGCCGCAGGUACCGGCUCCGGAGAGAUUUCUGCAGCGAGGAGGCUGCUGCGGGCCCAGCCUGCGGACGCGCCGUUCCCACGUGGCACUGCGGCCCAGGGUCUGGCGCGGAGAGGGCCCACAGCGUACUUGGUGACACUGUAUGCCUUCACCGCUCAGCCCCCGGGUCUGGCAUGACAGACAGGACAGCACCAGGGGAGUCAAGGGCACUGGCGAGACCCGACUAGGCGAGGCGGGUGGGGUGGAGUGAAUGAGAACUCUGGUGGGGGGCCGGGGCGCAGGCAGGGGCGAAGGGCGGGAGCCUGGCGGCGAGUCCGCCGGGGCGCUGGCCUCCAGAGCCCGUGGCCGAGGUGGGCCUCCGCGGGCGACGACGGAGCAGGGAUCGGUGCCUCUGGACUCGGGACUGGAGACGAGGGUGAGUGCCCGCUGGCGUGCCCGACACCCCACCGUCCCCCCGCCCGCCCACCGCCUCUGCCUGCGGCUCAGCUGGCACCCCCUCCCCUCGCCCGCAGCCAGGUCUCCAGAUCGGGUGACGUGCUGCUGGCCUCCGAAGGCCGGGCGCGAGGCUGCGCUCAGAGAGGCAUGACAUGGUCCGGUGCGACGGCGAGGACAGACGUGACGCCGCCCGGCCUUCCUGGUGAGCGCGGCUGUGAGGCUUGGCCCCCGCAGGCCGACCCACCCGCAGGGCGUCACCCCUGAGCGCUCUUGCUUCCCUAGACCAUUCUAGGCUGGCGCCGCGGGGACCCGGAACACCCAAGGGCUCGUUCCUCUGCGCUCCUGAAGGAGCCGACACAUGACUGCUGCUCUCUGGACCCCUAGAACCCUCAAAACGACAAGGUGAGGAGUCCCCGGCCAGCCGCGGGCAGCGGGCGCGGGCCAAGGAGCAGGGAACUCACCGUGUCCUGCCCCGCAGAAAUGGUGCUACCCAGCUCACGCCUGGGCCUUGGAACUGGGACUUCUUCAAGUCCCCUCUAGCUCUGACUCAAGAAUAUGCUGCAUUCUGGAACCACUACACUCCUUGACUCAGGAAUCGGCUCUGGAAGGUGAGUGCGGGCACCCUUCCGGAAGCUUCCGGGGCCGCCCUGCCCGGUCCCCGCUCACACGUCCUGUCGCUCUCUGCAGGUCAAGCUACAGGAACGAGACCAGCCCGACAGCAAGACCGUCGGAAGCGAGCAGCACCCGCGGCGGCCGCCACCCCGCCUGGCGCCUCCGUCUCCGUGGCCACCCUGCCGUGGACAGGCGACCACCAACCAGCCUCCACGCCCCCACGCCCCUCACCCUCCUUCUCUUCUUCCUUUCCUCUGUGCUUUCAUUUCCUUUCUUUCCUUUCCCCUUUGCUCGGGACUCAAAGCCACCGUGACUCCGUUUCCCCGUCCCUCCCGAAUUCAAUUUGCACUAAGUCGUUUGCACUGGUUUGGAGUUCUGGGUCUGGCCUCGAGUCCCCGAGCGCGUGUGCAAGCAAGAUGCUGAGUGCCCGCGCCGUGCCCAGCGCCCACCUGCCGUCCAUCUCUGCCUGGGGGUGCCUGGGUGCGUCCGAGUGUGUGGGGCCCCACCCUCCCCUUGCCUAGUCUGGGAGCUCCAAACACCGAGCAAACCUUGAAGCAUUCCGUUGUAGAGCAGCUCGCUCUGUGCCCCUCCCCGCCAGGGUUUCACCAGAAGCCCUGGACUCAUCAAUAAACUCAGUUACAGCAA